GACAGAGGGGGCAAGCGUUAUUCGGAUUUACUGGGCGUAAAGGGCGCGUAGGUGGCUUCGCAAGUCUGGUGUGAAAACGCUACCGCUUAACGGAGCGAUUGCGCUGGAAACUGCGAAACUUGAGUUCGAGAGAGGCAGGCGGAAUACCUGGUGUAGCGGUGGAAUGCUUAGAUAUCAGGUGGAACACCCGAGGCGAAGGCGGCCUGCUGGCUCGAUACUGACACUGAGGCGCGAAAGCGUGGGGAGCAAACGGG
This 254-nucleotide ribosomal RNA is filed under the name uncultured bacterium. RNAcentral describes it as "partial 16S ribosomal RNA". It matches the Rfam family "Bacterial small subunit ribosomal RNA", at positions 524 to 776 of the family's 1533-position model. The record is from RNAcentral.